AGAGCAGGUCAGGAAGUUCCACCCUGGUUGUUGAAAGGGUUAAGGAUGAAUGUGUGUGUGUGUGUGUGUGUGUGUUUGCACACACACACACACACACACACACGCGUGC
Molecule: microRNA precursor, 109 nt
Filed under: Ovis aries (sheep)
Lineage: Eukaryota; Metazoa; Chordata; Mammalia; Artiodactyla; Bovidae
Description: miRNA (ENSOARG00000024711.1)
Source: RNAcentral